This is a long non-coding RNA of Eufriesea mexicana, 1330 nucleotides long. RefSeq lists it as uncharacterized. The transcript has 3 exons. The record is from RefSeq and is a predicted model, not a curated record. NCBI's taxonomy places the organism in Eukaryota, Metazoa, Arthropoda, Insecta, Hymenoptera, Apidae.
AAGGAAAAAAGGAAAGAAACGACAGAAAGAUAAAAGGAAAGAAUUUCCUGUAAAAUUGGCCUGAGAAUCUCCAAGUGCGUAGGGCUUCUAAAAGUCUUAGUUCAGCCCUGGAAGAAGGGUUGCAGAAGGUGCGAGAUUGGAGAGUGGCUUGGCAUGGUUUUGGCAUGGCGAGUCUCGUCGUGUAUCACUAUUCUUUAUGCUUCGGUCUGUUUGCCAAAGCUCACUGGUCGUGAUUCAUUCCGCACAUUCGAAUUGAAACUUUACAACUCCAUGGACACACGGGGUGAGGGUAGUGGAACGUGAGACUGAAAAAAGGAUUUUUGCAGUUGAGGUUAUGUUGAUUAUACAACUAGGAUCUAAUAGUUGCAAAUAGACCGCUCGAUGCCAGUGCAAUGACGCAGUAGUAAGAAAUAAUGACACGGUGAUGAGUCAGUGGGGCAAGACUUAAAAAAUAUUGAUACGUGGAUAUGUAACUAAACCAAUCGAGGCGAUCGGUUUCAAAUUCCAUUUUUGCAAUUACAGAAGACGUAUAGCUGCCUGGAAAGAUAUCAACCGAUAAAAAAAGUAUUUUAUUUCUCGUCGAAAUGAAAUUUUUAUUAAAACCCGAUGAAUUCGUCCUGUAUGAAACACGAUAUAUUCGACAUAUUGAAACGCGUGCCAAUUCGACAAAAAUUGAUUGACAAAUAUUUUAUUCGAAUUAUUAGAAAAUUGAAUUCGUCUAGAACGAACUUCACAUAGCAUAGGCAAUUCGCACGAUCGUGAAACAGAUUGCGAACCAUGGCGAGAUUAAAACAUCAUGAAACAGUUUACACGAAACCGGAAGUCGUCGAGUAUGACGUUAAUUUUAUUAACAUAUUAAAUCAACGACCAAAAGAGGAUUACGCAUUCUAAUAAGCAAUUAGUGUCAAUGCGCACGCGGAGAAAGAUUCAUGAUGUAUAAAAGAGUUUAUCUGUACGUCGAAGAAAGGAACCCACCAGAAGCUGAAAGCCAAGUAGCCUCUGCAGGCGUGCACCGUCGCCCCGUAAAUUAUUCCCGCCCGGCGUAAACAUUAAACAAGUAUCGUUUAUACGCGCCGUGACCAGCCGAGGAAAAGAAAGAAAGGAAGAAAGAAAGUUCCACUUUUACCGCGAGCUCCUUUUACUUCGGCUCUGCGAACAGCCUUCGAGUUGCUCAAGAUCGAAUCCUGUUGCGUCAAUGUUCCAUGAUUCAAUUUGAUUUCACGUUCAUCGUGAUCCGAUAUUUAAUAUCUUCGUAUCAUUAGAAAGUAUUUUUUAGCAGGAAAAACAGAAAAAAAGACCAGGCAAUAUCACUGGAAAAGAUAAAAGAAAA